RNAcentral lists this ribosomal RNA (473 nucleotides) under uncultured bacterium. Its description in RNAcentral is "bacterial SSU rRNA". It matches the Rfam family "Bacterial small subunit ribosomal RNA", at positions 355 to 825 of the family's 1533-position model. The record is from RNAcentral.
UGGGGAAUAUUGCGCAAUGGGGGAAACCCUGACGCAGCGACGCCGCGUGGGUGAUGAAGGCCUUCGGGUCGUAAAGCCCUGUCGGGAGGGAAGAAACACUCCGGACCUAAUACGUCCGGGAAUUGACGGUACCUCCUAAGGAAGCACCGGCUAACUCCGUGCCAGCAGCCGCGGUAAUACGGAGGGUGCUAGCGUUGUUCGGAAUCACUGGGCGUAAAGGGCGUGUAGGCGGUCUGUUAAGUCUGAUGUGAAAUCCCCUCGCUCAACGAGGGAACUGCGUCGGAUACUGGCAGACUUGAGUACCGGAGAGGAAGGUGGAAUUCCCGGUGUAGCGGUGAAAUGCGUAGAGAUCGGAAAGAACACUCGUGGCGAAGGCGGCUUCCUGGCCCAAAACUGACGCUGAGGUGCGAAAGCAUGGGGAGCAAACAGGAUUAGAUACCCAAGUAGUCCCUGAGCGGGCUGGCAAGGCGCAU